This 708-nucleotide long non-coding RNA is filed under the name Musa acuminata (dwarf banana). Its description in RNAcentral is "long non-coding RNA (MACU_LNC003018)". Lineage: Eukaryota; Viridiplantae; Streptophyta; Magnoliopsida; Zingiberales; Musaceae. The record is from RNAcentral.
GUAUGUCAAGUUAUUGGUUGAUAUUUUGCUUUAUACAGAAACUGUUUUCGGAUUGUUGCUGCAUUGCUGCAAAACAAAAUAGAUCAGUUAUUUCAAGUGUAACACUGACUUAGAUGAGUGACAAGCAUGUUUCAGUGGAGAACCACAAUGAAGAAAAUGUAUUUGAUUAAAGAGGAAGGGUUGCAUGUACUCAGUAUGUCUGCCCAUUGAGCAGUAGGUUUGUCAUCUGCUACAAAAAUGAUAAACAACAUGGUGAUGACCAUAUCCAUGCUAGGCAGUGCAUGCACUGGUUGAGAGCAACCAUUUCUGGAUACACAAGAAUUACAUUGACAGCAUGUUGAUGAGAAGCCACUUUAUGUAGGCUUUUGCUGAUCAGUUUGUUUUUUUUAUUCAUAACCAUGAAUAACUAUUUUGUCAACUUGUCCAUGAUGCAAUUGGUAUGGUUCUGAUAGUCAAGAGACAUAAUGCAAGACAGUCUUAGUGAAAUUAGUGUACAUGAAAUUACCUUUUAACUUUUAAGUACCUUAAACUUGCUUAACUACCAAAUCCUUGUCCAUCAGAUACCUGCACAUUACAAUGUGUACAUGCAUAUAAGUUUGCCACUGAGUUGCUAUUGCUUGUCCGCCUUUCAGGGAACGCCAUCUGGAGCUCGACAUAUUCCCAUCUUUACCAUAUUUUUGCCCAUAUUUAUUUUACAAGGUGCUGCUG